GACGAACGCUGGCGGCGUGCUUAACACAUGCAAGUCGAACGGGAUUUAGUAGACAGAAGCCUCGGCUAAAGAUUACUAAUGAGAGUGGCGAACGGGUGAGUAACGCGUGAGCACCCUGCCUAUGACAGUGGGAUAGCCUCGGGAAACCGGGAUUAAUACCGCAUAAAAUCGUAGAAACACAUGUUUUAACGGUCAAAGAUUUAUCGGUCAUAGAUGGGCUCGCGUCUGAUUAGCUAGUUGGUGAGAUAACAGCCCACCAAGGCGACGAUCAGUAGCCGGUCUGAGAGGAUGAACGGCCACAUUGGAACUGAGACACGGUCCAAACUCCUACGGGAGGCAGCAGUGGGGAAUAUUGCACAAUGGGGGAAACCCUGAUGCAGCGACGCCGCGUGAACGAAGAAGGUAUUCGUAUCGUAAAGUUCUGUCCUAUGGGAAGAUAAUGACAGUACCAUAGAAGAAAGCUCCGGCUAAAUACGUG
This 478-nucleotide ribosomal RNA is filed under the name uncultured bacterium. RNAcentral describes it as "partial 16S ribosomal RNA". It matches the Rfam family "Bacterial small subunit ribosomal RNA", at positions 28 to 507 of the family's 1533-position model. The record is from RNAcentral.